AGGCCUCAGUGAAGGCCGUUUUACAUCAUCAUCUGUCUGCGUGUGCUUUUACCUGAGCUGUGUGAGACUCUUGGCUCCGAUGUCCUGACAGGAGUGCUGAAUGCCAGCCAGCAGUGGACUCAUCAUUCUUCAGCACCACCACAUAUCUGGUCUGAGAGCCCAGGUUUUUGUCCAUAGCAUCCAGGGAGCCCAUGCCACGAUACUUCUUCAGACGGAUGCCGUCGGAAAAGAAAUAUUCACCAGGAGCUUCGCUGGUGGCAGCCAGCAGAGAGCCCAUCAUCACUGAACAUGGAGAGCAAAAAGCUAUUCAGUGGAAGUUAAGCUAGAAGACUGGAAACUAAUCCUUAUCAUAUACUGUAAAACAUGUAGCCUGAACUGAAAUAAAAGUUUUAUAUUAUAUUUUUAAAUU
Scatophagus argus is the source of this 409-nucleotide long non-coding RNA. RefSeq lists it as uncharacterized. The transcript has 3 exons. The record is from RefSeq and is a predicted model, not a curated record. NCBI's taxonomy places the organism in Eukaryota, Metazoa, Chordata, Actinopteri, Scatophagidae.